Molecule: ribosomal RNA, 490 nt
Filed under: uncultured bacterium
Lineage: Bacteria
Description: partial 16S ribosomal RNA
Rfam family: Bacterial small subunit ribosomal RNA
Source: RNAcentral
AUUGAACGCUGGCGGCAGGCCUAACACAUGCAAGUCGAACGGUAACAGGAAGCAGCUUGCUGCUUUGCUGACGAGUGGCGGACGGGUGAGUCAUGUCUGGGAAACUGCCUGAUGGAGGGGGAUAACUACUGGAAACGGUAGCUAAUACCGCAUAACGUCGCAAGACCAAAGAGGGGGACCUUCGGGCCUCUUGCCAUCGGAUGUGCCCAGAUGGGAUUAGCUAGUAGGUGGGGUAACGGCUCACCUAGGCGACGAUCCCUAGCUGGUCUGAGAGGAUGACCAGCCACACUGGAACUGAGACACGGUCCAGACUCCUACGGGAGGCAGCAGUGGGGAAUAUUGCACAAUGGGCGCAAGCCUGAUGCAGCCAUGCCGCGUGUAUGAAGAAGGCCUUCGGGUUGUAAAGUACUUUCAGCGGGGAGGAAGGGAGUAAAGUUAAUACCUUUGCUCAUUGACGUUACCCGAAGAAGAAGCACCGGCUAACUCCGUG